Molecule: ribosomal RNA, 607 nt
Filed under: uncultured bacterium
Lineage: Bacteria
Description: bacterial SSU rRNA
Rfam family: Bacterial small subunit ribosomal RNA (bases 1-515)
Source: RNAcentral
CCUACGGGAGGCAGCAGUGGGGAAUCUUGCGCAAUGGGCGAAAGCCUGACGCAGCCAUGCCGCGUGAAUGAUGAAGGUCUUAGGAUUGUAAAAUUCUUUCACCGGGGACGAUAAUGACGGUACCCGGAGAAGAAGCCCCGGCUAACUUCGUGCCAGCAGCCGCGGUAAUACGAAGGGGGCUAGCGUUGCUCGGAAUUACUGGGCGUAAAGGGAGCGUAGGCGGAUAGUUUAGUCAGAGGUGAAAGCCCAGGGCUCAACCUUGGAAUUGCCUUUGAUACUGGCUAUCUUGAGUGUGGGAGAGGUAUGUGGAACUCCGAGUGUAGAGGUGAAAUUCGUAGAUAUUCGGAAGAACACCAGUGGCGAAGGCGACAUACUGGCCCAUUACUGACGCUGAGGCUCGAAAGCGUGGGGAGCAAACAGGAUUAGAUACCCUGGUAGUCCACGCUGUAAACGAUGAGUGCUAGUUGUCGGCAUGCAUGCAUGUCGGUGACGCAGCUACGCAUAGACACUCCGCCGUGGGAGGUACGGUCGCGAAGUAAGUUAAACUUACGAAAGUAAGUUAGUUACGGCGUUGAGACGNGCCGACGGACGACGACGAGGGAGGAGG